AAUUAAAAUGCAGUUGAUUUCAAGGCAGUAACACAGAUAAAGAAUCACCAAAACAAUCAAGCUAUAUAUAAAGACUUGCACUCUAAUCAACAAAACAUCUGCUAAAGAAAAUACCAACAACCCGAUCAGCACAACAGGGCUAGUAACAACCACCCUACACAAUCGUAUUGCAGCAUUAAGCACAUAACCAGAUAAUUUUUAACUAAAGAUUUUGCAUUUUCUAGCAAGCCAAGAUACCAUCAGCCACCAAUUCUUUAAUCCUCCCAGACACGUUAGGCAUAGUAUAGCAAUCUCAACGUUAAAAUUUACUGCAUUUCGAGCAGACCAAAUAUAGUAAAUGGAUGUCGGAAUUCAAUCCUCCUAAACUCCAUUUCCAGCAGUUUUCACAAAGUUGUAUUGACACGAUCUUGUUUCAUUAAUGAUCUCACCCAGUAAUCAGAAAAUUUCCAUCAUCUAGAUGUCUGGUAAUCUUCUCAUACUUGUUCACCAUCGUUUAGUUUAAUUUUACUCUAUCAAAUAUAGCUGUUUUUCGCUUCUUCAUGCACUCAUAUUCGUCAAGCAAAGCCUUGACCUCGAUCCCAAUCAAGCUCCUCUACUUGGGAGAUUUUCUCUAGUUAAGGGGUUAAAAAGAAUUAU
RNAcentral lists this long non-coding RNA (636 nucleotides) under Ricinus communis (castor bean). RNAcentral describes it as "long non-coding RNA (RCOM_LNC002366)". The record is from RNAcentral. Lineage: Eukaryota; Viridiplantae; Streptophyta; Magnoliopsida; Malpighiales; Euphorbiaceae.